ACGAACGCUGGCGGCGUGCUUAACACAUGCAAGUCGAACGAUGAAGCCUAGCUUGCUGGGUGGAUUAGUGGCGAACGGGUGAGUAACACGUGAGUAACCUGCCCCUUACUCUGGGAUAAGCGCUGGAAACGGCGUCUAAUACUGGAUAUUACCUUUCAUCGCAUGGUGUUUGGUGGAAAGAUUUUUCGGUUUGGGAUGGACUCGCGGCCUAUCAGCUUGAUGGUGAGGUAGUGGCUCACCAUGGCGACGACGGGUAGCCGGCCUGAGAGGGUGACCGGCCACACUGGGACUGAGACACGGCCCAGACUCCUACGGGAGGCAGCAGUGGGGAAUAUUGCACAAUGGGCGCAAGCCUGAUGCAGCAACGCCGCGUGAGGGAUGACGGCCUUCGGGUUGUAAACCUCUUUUAGUAGGGAAGAAGCGUAAGUGACGGUACCUACAGAAAAAGCACCGGCUAACUACGUG
Molecule: ribosomal RNA, 465 nt
Filed under: uncultured bacterium
Lineage: Bacteria
Description: partial 16S ribosomal RNA
Rfam family: Bacterial small subunit ribosomal RNA
Source: RNAcentral